GCGCGAAAAGAGUCUGCCACUGAAUAUGAAAGAGAAUCAAGGUUGUAUCCUCCCUCCAAGAAAAAUACACAACGGCCCCCACAUAGAUCUUUGGCGAGUUGUGUAAUAUCUGAGGCCAGCAUGUAGUAUGUUCCUGUUGUAAAUUGCAGACUGGCCAGCGGAUCCAGAACAUGACCAUCAUACCCAGCAGAAACGAGAAUUAUAUCUGGCUUGAACUUUUGAGCACAUGGCACAAUGACUUCAUCAAACACAGUCCUCAUGGCAAUGUCACCUGAUCCUCCUGGCAAAG
This 289-nucleotide unclassified non-coding RNA is filed under the name Hevea brasiliensis (rubber tree). The record is from RNAcentral. Lineage: Eukaryota; Viridiplantae; Streptophyta; Magnoliopsida; Malpighiales; Euphorbiaceae.